CCCUUAGAUGUCCUGGGCCGCACGCGUGCUACACUGACGCCUACAGCGAGUACUUCCCAGCCCCGGGAGGUGGCUGGUAAUCAGCAAUAGGCGUCGUGAUGGGGAUAGAUCUUUGGAAUUAUGGAUCUUGAACGAGGAAUGCCUAGUAAGCGCAGGUCAUUAGCCUGCGCUGAUUAAGUCCCUGCCCUUUGUACACACCGCCCGUCGCUCCUACCGAUUUCGAGUGGUCCGGUGAAUCUUUCGGACUGCGCGCGGCCUCGUGCCGUGUCGCGGAAAGUCAGGUAAACCUUAUCACUUAGAGGAAGGAGAAGUCGUAACA
RNAcentral lists this ribosomal RNA (319 nucleotides) under uncultured eukaryote. Its description in RNAcentral is "partial 18S ribosomal RNA". It matches the Rfam family "Eukaryotic small subunit ribosomal RNA", at positions 1470 to 1796 of the family's 1831-position model. The record is from RNAcentral.